UAGUGUGAGAGGUGCGGCGGGGGAGUCCUCCAGAAUACGCAUCAUAUAGCCCCUGAGGUAGCAUGGUGAUGUCUCCAUGAGGGAACCCCCUCCCACUCAUCCUGUCACGUAUAUCAUAGUGUUCUUGACUGGGCCAUUCAUCUAAGAUGGGAUUUACCCUGUGAAACAGGGAGAAGACUUAUGGACCCCAAGCAUCAUUUCGAGUUGUAGUUGAGUUUUUAAAAGACAUACAUGCAAAGUUCCUUUGCUUUGGACCCUCUGCAUUAUUAAAGCUGCUGUAUUGCUAACCCAGAACUGCUCCAGUGUCUUGACUGAUCAUCAUGGCUUCAGUUUGGAAGAGACUGCAGCGUGUGGGAAAACAUGCAUCCAAGUUCCAGUUUGUGGCCUCCUACCAGGAGCUGAUGGUUGAGUGUACGAAGAAAUGGCAACCAGAUAAACUGGUGGUAGUUUGGACCAGAAGAAGCCGAAGGAAGUCUUCUAAGGCACAUAGCUGGCAACCUGGAAUAAAAAAUCCCUAUCGUGGUGUUGUUGUGUGGCCUGUUCCUGAAAACAUUGAAAUCACUGUAACACUUUUUAAGGAUCCUCAUGCGGAAGAAUUUGAAGACAAAGAGUGGACAUUUGUCAUAGAAAAUGUAAGCUAAUGGCAAAUUCCUUCACCUUUCACAUUUUGAACUUUAUAUAUGCAUUAUUAAGGUACAUUGGCAUUUUGGUGGUAGGAAAAAUGUUGCCUUAAGAAAAUUAAAUAGUGAUUUGUAGCUUUUAGAAUGUUUUUAAUGAAAUGAUAGCCAGUAACAAAAUUAUUUGUAAGAAAUGCUUUUAUUAACACUGUAAGUCUUCAAUACCAAAUUAUAUGUAUGUUUGUAUGUGUGUGUGUAUGUGUAUUUUAUAUAUAUAUAAAAAUAUAUGUAUAUAUAAAAAUAUAUAUAUAUAUAUAUAUAUAUUCUGUUUGGGGUUUAAGGGCAAGCCCAUAUCUUACUCAUCUUUUUAUAUGUCAGCAUCUAGCAUAGUCCUUAUCACAUAGCAGAUACUCAUCUCCACAUGUGUUGGAUGAAACCAUGAAUGACCUUUGAAAUCUUUAAAAAUAAAGUGUGUGGGUUGGGUGUGGUGGCUCAUUCCUGUAAUCCCAGUACUUUGAGAGGCUGAGGUAGGCAGAUCACCUGAGAUCAGGAGUUUGCGACCGGCCUGGCCAAAGUGGUGAAACCCUGUCUCUACUAAAAAUACAGAAAAUAGCUGAGCGUCAUGGCGGGCACCUGUAGUCCCAGCUACUUGGGAGGCUGAGGCAGGAGAAUCGCUGGAACCCGGGAGGCAGAGGUUGCAGUGAGCCGAGAUUGUGCCAUUGCACUCCAGCCUGGGUGACGAGUGAAAAUCCACCAAGAAAGAAAGAGAGAGAGAGAGAAA
This 1398-nucleotide small RNA is filed under the name Pongo abelii (Sumatran orangutan). RNAcentral describes it as "retained intron". The record is from RNAcentral. Lineage: Eukaryota; Metazoa; Chordata; Mammalia; Primates; Hominidae.